CCUACGGGGCGCUGCAGUGGGGAAUAUUGCACAAUGGGGGAAACCCUGAUGCAGCGACGCCGCGUGAGUGAAGAAGUAUCUCGGUAUGUAAAGCUCUAUCAGCAGGGAAGAAAAUGACGGUACCUGAUUAAGAAGCCCCGGCUAACUACGUUCCAGCAGCCGCGGUAAUACGUAGGGGGCAAGCGUAAUCCGGAUUUACUGGGUGUAAAGGGGGCGUAGACGGCAGCACAAGUCUGGAGUGAAAUGCCGGGGCUUAACCCCGGAACUGCUUUGGAAACUGUGCAGCUAGAGUGCAGGAGAGGUAAGUGGAAUUCCUAGUGUAGCGGUGAAAUGCGUAGAUAUUAGGAGGAACACCAGUGGCGAAGGCGGCUUACUGGACUGUAACUGACGUUGAGGCUCGAAAGCGUGGGGAGCAAACAGGAUUAGAUACCCGGGUAGUC
RNAcentral lists this ribosomal RNA (440 nucleotides) under uncultured bacterium. RNAcentral's name for it is "partial 16S ribosomal RNA". It matches the Rfam family "Bacterial small subunit ribosomal RNA", at positions 338 to 795 of the family's 1533-position model. The record is from RNAcentral.